Molecule: ribosomal RNA, 253 nt
Filed under: uncultured bacterium
Lineage: Bacteria
Description: partial 16S ribosomal RNA
Rfam family: Bacterial small subunit ribosomal RNA
Source: RNAcentral
UACGUAGGGGGCGAGCGUUGUCCGGAAUCAUUGGGCGUAAAGCGCGUGUAGGCGGCUCGAUAAGUCCGGUGUGAAACCUUGGGGCUCAACCCUAAGCCUGCACUGGAUACUGCCGAGCUAGAGUCCGGGAGGGGAGAGCGGUAUUCCUAGUGUAGCGGUGAAAUGCGCAGAUAUUAGGAAGAACACCGGUGGCGAAGGCGGCUCUCUGGAACGGUACUGACGCUGAGACGCGAAAGCGUGGGGAGCGAACAGG